Molecule: long non-coding RNA, 2052 nt
Filed under: Brachypodium distachyon (stiff brome)
Lineage: Eukaryota; Viridiplantae; Streptophyta; Magnoliopsida; Poales; Poaceae
Description: long non-coding RNA (BDIS_LNC001182)
Source: RNAcentral
UGCAGUUGGAGACAGAUGUGGCAGUCUACGAAAGGGUUCAAGGAGGAAGGGGAUUGCGGCGUGUGGGUGGAGGUUGGGAAAACCUAACCCAUUGCUUGUCCCGACUACCCUCCUACCUUUUAUUCCACUAGGAAACAACAACCACCUUCCCGUACUAGAAAGGAAAAAAAAAAUACAUCCCGAAAAAACAACCCUAAAAAACAAUUAAUAUCGGCUCUUUUCCAGUCGCCCACCCAAAACGAAAACCCUAUGCUUUGUUAAUUUGCUGGAGCCGGCGACAAGAGCAACUGGAUGAGCACGACUCAGCUCUGGAUCGGCGGUAGUGCAGUUCCCGAGGUAGAAGUAAUCCAGCGAUUAUAUGCUUUUUCUGCUUUGAUGGUUAGUAUAUUUGAUCGUCGAUGAAACAUUUAUGAUGGAAUAUGCCGUUGGUAGUACGUCUCAUUAAGGAAACCCCGCUUCGAUCGUCGCUGAUGCAUAUCGCUGCUGAUGUAUUUAUGAUGGGAAUAUUCCGUUGCUAGUAUCAUUAAGGAAACCCUGCUUCGAUCGUCGCUGAUGCAUUCAUGAUGGGAAUAUGCUGUUGCUAGUAUCAUUAAGGAAACCCUACUUCGAUCAUCGCUGAUGCAUUUAUGAUGGAAAUAUGUCGUUGCUAGUAUCAUUAAGAAACCUCGCUUCCAAUCUACCAACUAAGAGCACCGGCCAUGUCCCCACCGUUGGACACCCUUUUCAACGAUAAAAGCACUGCUAAAACAUCAUCUGAUUCCGCGAUUAAGCAGCCAAAUAAUCAUGGAACUGAAGGACACCAUUUUAAUUAAUGGUAAGUGCCAAUGUUAAACGUUGGGUUCGAUUAGUUGGUGGUCGAGUUGUUAAUCUACCGAAAAGCGAUUAAAAGCAUAGGAUCAACAUUGAUUUUUCAUCACAAAAACAACCAAAUUGGCCGCGCCUGCUAAUUUCUCCCCGCGGACCCUGCACUUUCUCCCCAUCCCCCCCCCCCCUAUGUUUGUGGUUUGUGCCAAUAUGUACCAUGCCAAAUUUUUGGUCACCGACCAAAUUUAGUAUUUGCUAGGAUAGUUGCCAAACACUGUCACCCCCGGUUCGCCCGGUUGCCGCCCCAGAAGCUGACGCCCCGUGCCCGGAUCUAGCCUGGCAGAGUGCCACCUCUGGUGUUCCUCCUCCUCUGAGUAGCCGACUAGGUCUGCCCCUCCUCCCCUGCCGAGUCGCUGCCUGUUCUGCUGCUCCUCCCCCCACCUAGUCGACGAUUGGGUCUGCUCCACUCUGCCAACCUCAGAUCGCGCCGUAUCGUGGACUCUUCCCACGCCGACGUCACCUGCCGCCGCCGCCACAUUCAGAUCCACCGAAUCCUUGACUCCUCCCCCACCGACGUCUCUUGCCGCUGCCGCGCCCUCUGAUAUCCACCAAAUCCUCGACUCCUCCCCCAACGACGUCUCCUGCCACCACCGCCACCCUUAGAUCCACCAUAUCCUCAACUCGUCCCCCGCUGACGUCUAUGGAAAAUUAGAGGUAAUAAAGUUGACAUAAAGAUGAAAGAGUUAUUUGAUGUGGUAAACGUGAGCCAUCUGCCUGAAAUGGUAAAACUAAUGAAAAAUGCACGACUCUUAAAUCUACCACAUAAAUCUUCAUCACUUUUGCUACGUACCUAAGAUGCGGAUCCAACCUAACAUCAGGCGUGGAACAAUGGAAGACAUAAAAGGUGUAAUAAAGAAAGAGGCUAAGCGACAUCAAGAAAUCCAAUUCAGGAAUCAAAUCACAAGAGAGAACUAGAAGAAAAGACGAAACAUUAUAUUAAAGAUCCGCGAACCUUUAUUUUUCCAAUGAUCAUAUGUCACAUGAAGGAAGUCGAGAGGCCACAAAGAAGACAAGGAAUGCAUGAUUUCACUAGGACUAGCACGUGGUUGGAGACAGAUGUGGCAGUCUACGAAAGGGUUCAAGGAGGAAGGGGAUUGCGGCAUGUGGGUGGAGGUCGGGAAAACCUAACCCAUUGCUUGCCCCGACUACCCUCCUACCUUUUAUUCCACUAGGAAACAACAACCACCU